Ostrinia nubilalis (European corn borer) is the source of this 795-nucleotide long non-coding RNA. RefSeq lists it as uncharacterized. The transcript has 2 exons. The record is from RefSeq and is a predicted model, not a curated record. NCBI's taxonomy places the organism in Eukaryota, Metazoa, Arthropoda, Insecta, Lepidoptera, Crambidae.
UAUUGAAAAAGAAGUCAGUCUAGCUAGAGUGUUGUUUAACUGUUAAAAUGUUAAUUAAAAUAGUUGCUAUUAUUGUAAUUAUUAGUUGUGCGAAAGCGGAAGAGAGCAAUGCGUUCUUGGAAUCAAUCUUGAAUGUGGACUCCAAGAAAGAAGCUGUACCAGAUAUUUUGAAUGAAGUGGAUAGCGGCGAUAUUGCUUCUGGAAAUAACGUAUCCCCAAUCGUCGAUGAAACGUUGAUACAGGGGAUAAAGAAGGCAAGCGAGGCCUUCAUGAAUAUUGUAAAUGAAGCCGAUAAGAAAUGGCGUGACUGGGUUAAACAUUACAAUUGCACCACGUCCUCCGGAAAUUUAAUCGGGUGUGUGACUAGUGUGAAAGCUCUUAAAAGCCUGUGUUCGUGGAAAGAGAAGACCAGUCAAGUGGAAAUCCCUACGGAGCCGCCAUCUGACGUCGACAAUGAAUUCAGUAAUGGCAAAUGGUCACAGAAAAUUACAAGUGAUUUGGAAAAAUGGUUUGCCGACUUGAAAAACUUGGUCUCCAAAGCUAAAGAAAUUAUUAACAACAAAAAAAUUGGAAUAGAGAAUCAAACAGACAUAGACAGUUUAUUCACUUACUAAAAGUAGGUACUUACGUAACGAAGCUACUGAAAGUAUAAACGUUUAUGUCAUUCGAUUUUAUUAUAAUAUCCUGAAAAGCGUUUGCCUAUCCUAGAUUUUUUACCUACUUAGGUACUAACACUAUAUUAUUAUUAUCAUAAAUUAUGUGCAUUUUUAAUAAAAAUAAAUAAUUUACACUUAU